UUGCUCCAUUGCCAAUCCGAAGGAUUAUGUCAUCUUUUCUUAACCUCCUACAUUCUAUUAAACCUUGCAUUGAGAUACAUAUAUGAGCACUCGAAUCAGAAUCCAAUAUCCAACUAGAAAUAGAAGAAAUCGUAAGGUUAGAUUCAAUUACGAGCAUACCUUCUGAAGGUUUAUCAUCUCUUUUGAUCUUUAAGCUCUCCAGAAAGAGUGGACAGUUCCUCCUCCAGUGGCCGUC
RNAcentral lists this long non-coding RNA (235 nucleotides) under Elaeis guineensis (African oil palm). RNAcentral describes it as "long non-coding RNA (EGUI_LNC049474)". The record is from RNAcentral. Lineage: Eukaryota; Viridiplantae; Streptophyta; Magnoliopsida; Arecales; Arecaceae.